CCUACGGGCGACAGCAGUAGGGAAUCUUCCACAAUGGGCGAAAGCCUGAUGGAGCAACGCCGCGUGGGUGAAGAAGGUCUUCGGAUCGUAAAACCCUGUUGUUAGAGAAGAAAGUGCGUGAGAGUAACUGUUCACGUUUCGACGGUAUCUAACCAGAAAGCCACGGCUAACUACGUGCCAGCAGCCGCGGUAAUACGUAGGUGGCAAGCGUUAUCCGGAUUUAUUGGGCGUAAAGGGAACGCAGGCGGUCUUUUAAGUCUGAUGUGAAAGCCUUCGGCUUAACCGGGGUAGUGCAUUGGAAACUGGGAGACUGGAGUGCAGAAGAGGAGAGUGGAACUCCAUGUGUAGCGGUGAAAUGCGUAGAUAUAUGGAAGAACACCAGUGGCGAAAGCGGCUCUCUGGUCUGUAACUGACGCUGAGGUUCGAAAGCGUGGGUAGCAAACAGGAUUAGAUACCCGGGUAGUC
Molecule: ribosomal RNA, 465 nt
Filed under: uncultured bacterium
Lineage: Bacteria
Description: partial 16S ribosomal RNA
Rfam family: Bacterial small subunit ribosomal RNA
Source: RNAcentral